CCUACGGGUGGCAGCAGUGGGGAAUAUUGGACAAUGGGGGCAACCCUGAUCCAGCCAUGUCGCGUGUGUGAAGAAGGCCCUCGGGUUGUAAAGCACUUUCAGUGAGGAAGAACGCCUGGUGGUUAAUACCCAUCAGGAAAGACAUCACUCACAGAAGAAGCACCGGCUAACUCCGUGCCAGCAGCCGCGGUAAUACGGAGGGUGCGAGCGUUAAUCGGAAUUACUGGGCGUAAAGCGCGCGUAGGUGGCUUGAUAAGCCGGUUGUGAAAGCCCCGGGCUCAACCUGGGAACGGCAUCCGGAACUGUCAAGCUAGAGUGCAGGAGAGGAAGGUAGAAUUCCCGGUGUAGCGGAGAAAUGCGUAGAGAUCGGGAGGAAUACCAGUGGCGAAGGCGGCCUUCUGGACUGACACUGACACUGAGGUGCGAAAGCGUGGGGAGCAAACAGGAUUAGAUACCCCUGUAGUC
This 465-nucleotide ribosomal RNA is filed under the name Vreelandella stevensii. RNAcentral describes it as "partial 16S ribosomal RNA". It matches the Rfam family "Bacterial small subunit ribosomal RNA", at positions 338 to 795 of the family's 1533-position model. The record is from RNAcentral. Lineage: Bacteria; Pseudomonadati; Pseudomonadota; Gammaproteobacteria; Oceanospirillales; Halomonadaceae.